This 224-nucleotide long non-coding RNA is filed under the name Lathyrus oleraceus (garden pea). RNAcentral's name for it is "Pisum sativum (pea) long non-coding RNA (PSAT_LNC000870)". Lineage: Eukaryota; Viridiplantae; Streptophyta; Magnoliopsida; Fabales; Fabaceae. The record is from RNAcentral.
UUUGACGGAGUCUGGAGCAGCUGCUCUACAACAUUGAAUUCACUUCUUUUGAUCAGCUUUAGCACCUCAUCAUCAUCGCUAGUCUUUAACUUGUUGGAUUCACCAAACUGACAUGUUGGAGCACUAACUGGAUUCACUACUGGAAUCUCUACUUUCUUACUUGCUGCAACAUCUUCUACUUCUUUUGGAAAUGCUGGACCGAACAUACGACCGCUAUAGGUCAC